GGAACCUGCGGAGGGAUCAUU
Molecule: ribosomal RNA, 21 nt
Filed under: Cladosporium cladosporioides
Lineage: Eukaryota; Fungi; Ascomycota; Dothideomycetes; Cladosporiales; Cladosporiaceae
Also listed under: 1 other name
Description: partial 18S ribosomal RNA
Source: RNAcentral